Long non-coding RNA from Drosophila pseudoobscura, 1165 nucleotides. RefSeq lists it as uncharacterized. Lineage: Eukaryota; Metazoa; Arthropoda; Insecta; Diptera; Drosophilidae. The transcript is spliced from 3 exons. The record is from RefSeq and is a predicted model, not a curated record.
UUUACUGACUGGGGGCAAGCCCCCCACACUCGCUUCGUUCGUGCGCAAACCGCCACUCGCUACACUCACCACUCUCACGCCGAUAUGAGUGUAUUUCAAAUGUUGCCCUGUGCAAAUGUUCUGUUUUUAGUUCUGUUCCAUGUUGCUGGUGAAUGUUGCACAAUCCGCGCAGCAUGUUGCUGGAGAAUUUUUUGUAAGCAAAAGUGGUCUCACUUCAUUCAAUAGAUAGAAGAAACCUGCGAUUGGAAGUUUUUAUACCUUAUGUUCUUCUACACACCUUUAAAAUGAAAGCUAAUGGAAUGAUGAAAUUGUUCAAAUAUAUUUGUUCUCAUUGAUAAUUUUAGAACGGAACUUUGGCGAACAAGUAGCUAACUUAUGUUAACAUUUUAACAUUUUCGUUCUCUUGGUCACAGACAAGAGAGAGAAAAUAACAGCGGGCGUGUGUGGAACGUAUUGUAAGCUGUGGCAUGUGGAAGCCAGACUCUGUCUCGGACUGGGACACGGAAACCCCCUUUCCAAUCCCUCCACUCAACACAGUCAAAUGCCGGCUACGAAAUGCUCCAAAACGGAAGUGGUCGAUGACGUGCACUCGCUGUUACCGCACCCACAACAACAACCAUUUUGUGGACCCCAUAUCUUUAUCUGUUGUGGACCAAGUGUUGCAUGCUCUUGAGAGACGGAGGCAGCAACGUUGCCAAUUUUCAUGCAGAUGCAAAAAUGUUUCUAAAACCCAACUUUUGGAUAACUCCGAAAGUUCAUUGAUCCACAGAAAAAACUGCGUGAAAUAACAUCUGCUCAAAUAUAUGCUCAGGCCACACCGCACGGGCACGGGUAGUGGGGGUUAUCUAUGCCCCUGUAUUGUCACUCGUCUGUGGCCCUAAAAAUUAUAACACAAAGGCAGACGUAAGGAAAAAAAAUCAAGCAAAUUAUGGUAAAUACGCCUUAAAAACGGAUCACGCACAGAAGCAAAAGGGGUUGUGGGAGAGAGAGAGAGAGAUCUAUCUCACAUGUGGAAAGCGGGAGGUAGUGGUAGACCACUUACUUCACCGCCUACCGCUAACCUAUCAAGGCUUUCUUCGUGGAAUCGAACGUCGAACCAGUCACAAGUUAAAUAAGUAACUAAUUUAACUAUUUCUUUGGAAAAGUAUCACAAUACUAUGUACUA